Molecule: ribosomal RNA, 315 nt
Filed under: uncultured bacterium
Lineage: Bacteria
Description: bacterial SSU rRNA
Rfam family: Bacterial small subunit ribosomal RNA
Source: RNAcentral
GAUAAACGCUGGCGGCGCACAUAAGACAUGCAAGUCGAACGAACUUAAUACCUUGCUUGCAAGGUAAGCGGUUAGUGGCGGACUGGUGAGUAACACGUAAGAAAUCUGCCUAUCAGAGGGGAAUAACAGUGAGAAAUCAUUGCUAAUACCGCAUAUGCCAUAGGAAUCACAUGAUUCUAGUGGGAAAGGAGCAAUCCGCUGAUAGAUGAGCUUGCGGCUGAUUAGCUAGUUGGUGGGGUAAAGGCCUACCAAGGCAACGAUCAGUAGCCGGACUGAGAGGUUGAACGGCCACAUUGGGACUGAGAUACGGCCCAG